Long non-coding RNA from Danaus plexippus (monarch butterfly), 423 nucleotides. RefSeq lists it as uncharacterized. The transcript is spliced from 2 exons. The record is from RefSeq and is a predicted model, not a curated record. NCBI's taxonomy places the organism in Eukaryota, Metazoa, Arthropoda, Insecta, Lepidoptera, Nymphalidae.
GUGCUGAUAAUGGAAUCAAAUACAUGAUAGUUUUCUAAUGACUCGGAACAUCCUAAUGCUCUUGGUUACUCCAAUGUCAAUGUAUUAGAACAUUAACGUCCUUUAAAUAGUGUGAGAAGUGAUUGCUGAAUAUCAGUAGGCGUGCUAUCAAGUGCCGAGUAUAUUGUAUUAUAAUAACUAAAUAUGAAGUUCUCAUUAGUGUGCGUGUUGUUGAUGUCUGUGUUUAUGUUGUUUAUUACACAGAGCUCUGCCAACCCUAGAGUUAACUUCGGAGCUAUUAAGAAAGGCCUCGGUAUUCUGAGCGCGGCGGGAACGGCUGAGAACAUAUACGAGGAGUGGAAACACAGACACGGAUAAAGAAACACAAAAUUGUUAGAUUGAAAAUUCCACUAAUAUGAUUUUAAUAAAGAAUUUCUUUGGCUA